CGAAAAAUAGAUUUCACUGUUUUAAACAAUAUAUUGGUAGAUUAUAAUUACAGUGGGAAGAUCAUGAUCAGGAAAGAAAAUGUACAGAUAUGUGGUUAAAGAAGAUGAAUUUCUAUCUCUAUCUACUGAAUAAUUGAUUAUGCUAAACUCUGGUAAUGUUCUUAAUGCCCCUGUUUCUUGAAGAAAAAGUGUAUAUGACUGUGUUAUUAAUUGGGUAAAGCAUGAAUUAAACGUUAGAUAUGAUAGUUUGGCGAAAGAACAUGUAUCAUUAGAGUGCAUACGAUGAAUGUAGUCAAAUGAACCUCUUUUUAAAAAUUUUCCUAAAAUUAAAGAUUAUUUAAUCAAAGCUUUUCAAUUUCGUAUACUUAGACUCGACAACUAACUAUUCCACAAACUAUUCGAAAUACACCUAGAAUGUCUGGACAAAAGGUUAUUCUAGUAUUCAGGCGUUCACGUGGAACCUUGUGUAUGAUCCAACA
This 479-nucleotide long non-coding RNA is filed under the name Acyrthosiphon pisum (pea aphid). Its description in RNAcentral is "uncharacterized LOC103311709, transcript variant X5". Lineage: Eukaryota; Metazoa; Arthropoda; Insecta; Hemiptera; Aphididae. The record is from RNAcentral.